This 293-nucleotide ribosomal RNA is filed under the name uncultured bacterium. Its description in RNAcentral is "partial 16S ribosomal RNA". It matches the Rfam family "Archaeal small subunit ribosomal RNA", at positions 455 to 747 of the family's 1478-position model. The record is from RNAcentral.
GUGCCAGCCGCCGCGGUAAUACCGGCAGCCCAAGUGAUGGCCGCUGUUAUUGGGCCUAAAGCGUCCGUAGCUGGCCGCACGAGUCCGUCGGGAAAUCCGCCCGCUCAACGGGCGGCCGUCCGGCGGAACCUGUGUGGCUUGGGACCGGGAGGCCUGAGGGGUACGAUCGGGGUAGGAGUGAAAUCCUGUAAUCCCGCCCGGACCGCCGAUGGGGAAAGCACUUCGAGAAAACGGAUCCGACAGUGAGGGACGAAAGCCAAGGUCUCCAACCGGAUUAGAUACCCUUGUAGUCC